GACAAUUUAGCUCAGUUGGUUAGAGCGUGGAGCUAAUAUGCGUAAGCUUACUCCAAGGUCAACAGUUCGAGCCUGUUACUUGUCA
This is a non-coding RNA of Microstroma glucosiphilum, 85 nucleotides long. The record is from the annotation of a RefSeq genome assembly. NCBI's taxonomy places the organism in Eukaryota, Fungi, Basidiomycota, Exobasidiomycetes, Microstromatales, Microstromataceae.